UGCGUAGGGUGCAAGCGUUGUCCGGAAUUAUUGGGCGUAAAGGGAGCGUAGGCGGACUUUUAAGUGAGAUGUGAAAUACCCGGGCUCAACUUGGUUGCUGCAUUUCAAACUGGAAGUCUAGAGUGCAGGAGAGGAGAAUGGAAUUCCUAGUGUAGCGGUGAAAUGCGUAGAGAUCGGGAGGAACACCAGUGGCGAAGGCGGGUAACUGGACUGCAACUGACGCUGAGGCGCGAAAGUGUGGGGAGCAAACAGGAUUAGAUACCCU
RNAcentral lists this ribosomal RNA (265 nucleotides) under uncultured prokaryote. RNAcentral describes it as "partial 16S ribosomal RNA". It matches the Rfam family "Bacterial small subunit ribosomal RNA", at positions 524 to 788 of the family's 1533-position model. The record is from RNAcentral.